GCACCGGCUAACUCCGUGCCAGCAGCCGCGGUAAUACGGAGGGUGCGAGCGUUAAUCGGAAUAACUGGGCGUAAAGGGCACGCAGGCGGCUAUUUAAGUGAGGUGUGAAAUCCCCGGGCUUAACCUGGGAAUUGCAUUUCAGACUGGGUAGCUAGAGUACUUUAGGGAGGGGUAGAAUUCCACGUGUAGCGGUGAAAUGCGUAGAGAUGUGGAGGAAUACCGAAGGCGAAGGCAGCCCCUUGGGAAUGUACUGACGCUCAUGUGCGAAAGCGUGGGGAGCAAACAGGAUUAGAUACCCUGGUAGUCCACGCUGUAAACGCUGUCGAUUUGGGGAUUGGGCUUUAAGCUUGGUGCCCGUAGCUAACGUGAUAAAUCGACCGCCUGGGGAGUACGGCCGCAAGGUUAAAACUCAAAUGAAUUGACGGGGGCCCGCACAAGCGGUGGAGCAUGUGGUUUAAUUCGAUGCAACGCGAAGAACCUUACCUACUCUUGACAUCCAUGGAAUCUUGUAGAGAUACGGGAGUGCCUUCGGGAACCAUGAGACAGGUGCUGCAUGGCUGUCGUCAGCUCGUGUUGUGAAAUGUUGGGUUAAGUCCCGCAACGAGCGCAACCCUUAUCCUUUGUUGCCAGCGAUUUGGUCGGGAACUCAAAGGAGACUGCCGGUGAUAAACCGGAGGAAGGUGGGGAUGACGUCAAGUCAUGGC
RNAcentral lists this ribosomal RNA (704 nucleotides) under uncultured Haemophilus sp. RNAcentral's name for it is "bacterial SSU rRNA". It matches the Rfam family "Bacterial small subunit ribosomal RNA", at positions 490 to 1199 of the family's 1533-position model. Lineage: Bacteria; Pseudomonadati; Pseudomonadota; Gammaproteobacteria; Pasteurellales; Pasteurellaceae. The record is from RNAcentral.